This is a long non-coding RNA of Mizuhopecten yessoensis (Yesso scallop), 2411 nucleotides long. RefSeq lists it as uncharacterized. The transcript has 2 exons. The record is from RefSeq and is a predicted model, not a curated record. NCBI's taxonomy places the organism in Eukaryota, Metazoa, Mollusca, Bivalvia, Pectinida, Pectinidae.
UUGAUAACAAAGACUUACAAUGUAUCGGGUAACCCAUGGAGAAUAGUUCAGCAGGUUGGGUUUGUAUGGCCAUGUGUUGUAAAGUUUGUUGAUAACAAAGACUUACAAUGUAUCGGACAACACAGGGAGAAUAGUUCAGCAGGUUGGAUUUGUACGCCCAUGUGUUGUACAGUUUGUUGAUAACAAAGACUUACAAUGUAUCGGGUAACACAUGGAGAAUAUUUCAGCAGGUUGGGUUUGUAUGGCCAUGUGUUGUAAAGUUUGUUGAUAACAAAGACUUACAAUCUAUCAGACACCACAUGGAGAAUAGUUCAGCAGGUUUGAUUUGUAUGGCCAUGUGUUGUACAGUUUGUUGAUAACAAAGACUUGCAAUGUAUCAGGUAACACAUGGAGAAUAGUUCAGCAGGUUGGACUUGUAUAGCCAGGUGUUGUACAGUUUGAUGAUAACAAAUACUUACAAUGUAUCAGGUUACACAUGAAGAAUAAUUCAGCAGGUUGGAUUUGUAUGGCCAUGUGUUGUACAGUUUGUUGAUAACAAAGACUUACAAUGUAUCAGGUAACACAUGGAGAAUAGUUCAGCAGGUUGGAUUUGUACGGCCAUGUGUUGUACAGUUUGUUGAUAACAAAGACUUACAAUGUAUCAGGUAACACAUGGAGAAUAGUUCAGCAGGUUGGAUUUGUACGGCCAUGUGUUGUACAGUUUGUUGAUAACAAAGACUUACAAUGUAUCAGGUAACACAUGGAGAAUAGUUCAGCAGGUUGGAUUUGUACGGCCAUGUGUUGUACAGUUUGUUGAUAACAAAGACUUACAAUGUAUCAGGUAACACAUGGAGAAUAGUUCAGCAGGUUGGAUUUGUACGGCCAUGUGUUGUACAGUUUGUUGAUAACAAAGACUUACAAUGUAUCAGGUAACACAUGGAGAAUAGUUCAGCAGGUUGGAUUUGUACGGCCAUGUGUUGUACAGUUUGUUGAUAACAAAGACUUACAAUGUAUCAGGUAACACAUGGAGAAUAGUUCAGCAGGUUGGAUUUGUACGGCCAUGUGUUGUACAGUUUGUUGAUAACAAAGACUUACAAUGUAUCAGGUAACACAUGGAGAAUAGUUCAGCAGGUUGGAUUUGUACGGCCAUGUGUUGUACAGUUUGUUGAUAACAAAGACUUACAAUGUAUCAGGUAACACAUGGAGAAUAGUUCAGCAGGUUGGAUUUGUACGGCCAUGUGUUGUACAGUUUGUUGAUAACAAAGACUUACAAUGUAUCAGGUAACACAUGGAGAAUAGUUCAGCAGGUUGGAUUUGUACGGCCAUGUGUUGUACAGUUUGUUGAUAACAAAGACUUACAAUGUAUCAGGUAACACAUGGAGAAUAGUUCAGCAGGUUGGAUUUGUACGGCCAUGUGUUGUACAGUUUGUUGAUAACAAAGACUUACAAUGUAUCAGGUAACACAUGGAGAAUAGUUCAGCAGGUUGGAUUUGUACGGCCAUGUGUUGUACAGUUUGUUGAUAACAAAGACUUACAAUGUAUCAGGUAACACAUGGAGAAUAGUUCAGCAGGUUGGGUUUGUACGGCCAUGUGUUGUACAGUUUGUUGAUAACAAAGACUUACAAUGUAUCAGGUAACACAUGGAGAAUAGUUCAGCAGGUUGGGUUUUUAUGGCCAUGUGUUGUGCAGUUUGUUGAUAACAAAGACUUACAAUAUAUCAGACAACACAUGGAGAAUAGUUCAGCAGGUUGGGUUUUUAUGGCCAUGUGUUGUACAUAGGGCUGCAACGAUACACCUUACUCACGAUACAAUACAUAUCACGGUACAAUAUGGUACAUAUCACAAUACAAAUGUCUGCUUAAAAGGUCAACAUCAUAACAAUUGAGCGCAGGAUUUUAUUGAGUUUUGUCACAGACUUCAAUAGUAAAUACUAUUGAAAUAUAUUUUUGUAUAAUUUCUAGUACUUUUCGGUGUGACUGUACAGUGAACCACAUCUUUACUGACAGCCUAAAACAAUCAGUGCACAUUUUUGGAAUUAGAUAAAACUUAAAUGAUAAUUUCAGUACUGUUAGUGUAUUGCGAUACAGGCAAACUAAACAAUUUGAUAAGACACACUAGAAAGUAUCCCGAUACAACACGAUAUAUAUCGUUUCAGCCCUAGUUGUACAGUCUAUUGUUAAGUUAAGACUUGCAACAUAUCAUGCGUGUAGUAGAAAAUGCAGGUUAGAUUUGUUAAGCCUUGCAUUGUACAGUAUAUUUGAUGUUGAGAUAAGAGUUUCAAUGUAGGAGGCAUGCAGUAAUUAAUGAUUUGUAUGGCCUUUUGUUGUACAGUUUAUAUUGGCCAUGAAGCUUUAUUUAUGACGGAUGAAAUGUGGCAUGCUGAAUGAAUGACAAGAAAUAUAGAAUGAAAAAUAAACCAUAAGGACAGCAAA